CAGUCGCCGCGGUAAUACGGAAGGUCCGGGCGUUAUCCGGAUUUAUUGGGUUUAAAGGGAGCGUAGGCCGUGGAUUAAGCGUGUUGUGAAAUGUAGACGCUCUACGUCUGACUUGCAGCGCGAACUGGUUCACUUGAGCGUGCGCAACGCAGGCGGGAUUCGUGGUGUAGCGGUGAAAUGCUUAGAUAUCACGAAGAACUCCGAUUGCGAAGGCAGCUUGCGGGAGCACAACUGACGCUGAAGCUCGAAAGUGCGGGUACCAAACAGGAUUAGAUACCCCUGUAGUCCCUGUCUCUUAUAC
This 301-nucleotide ribosomal RNA is filed under the name uncultured bacterium. RNAcentral's name for it is "partial 16S ribosomal RNA". It matches the Rfam family "Bacterial small subunit ribosomal RNA", at positions 509 to 807 of the family's 1533-position model. The record is from RNAcentral.